AUUGAACGCUGGCGGCAGGCCUAACACAUGCAAGUCGAACGGCAGCACAGAAGAGCUUGCUCUUUGGGUGGCGAGUGGCGGACGGGUGAGUAAUGUCUGGGAAACUGCCCGAUGGAGGGGGAUAACUACUGGAAACGGUAGCUAAUACCGCAUAACGUCGCGAGACCAAAGUGGGGGACCUUCGGGCCUCACACCAUCGGAUGUGCCCGGAUGGGAUUAGCUAGUAGGUGGGGUAAUGGCUCACCUAGGCGACGAUCCCUAGCUGGUCUGAUAGGAUGACCAGCCACACUGGAACUGAGACACGUGCCAGACUCCUACGGGAGGCAGCAAUGGGAAAUAUUGCACAAUGGGCGCAAGCCUGAUGCAGCCAUGCCGCGUGUAUGAAGAAGGCCUUCGGGUUGUAAAGUACUUUCAGCGGGGAGGAAGGCGGUGAGGUUAAUAACCUCGCCGAUUGACGUUACCCGCAGAAGAAGCACCGGCUAACUCCGUGCCAGCCGCCGCUGUAA
RNAcentral lists this ribosomal RNA (506 nucleotides) under uncultured bacterium. RNAcentral's name for it is "partial 16S ribosomal RNA". It matches the Rfam family "Bacterial small subunit ribosomal RNA", at positions 30 to 523 of the family's 1533-position model. The record is from RNAcentral.